RNAcentral lists this ribosomal RNA (521 nucleotides) under Calliptamus italicus (Italian locust). RNAcentral describes it as "partial 16S ribosomal RNA". It matches the Rfam family "Bacterial large subunit ribosomal RNA", at positions 1797 to 2591 of the family's 2925-position model. Lineage: Eukaryota; Metazoa; Arthropoda; Insecta; Orthoptera; Acrididae. The record is from RNAcentral.
CGCCUGUUUUUACAAAAACAUGUCCUCUUGAGUAUAAUUUGAGGUCUGACCUGCUCACUGACAAGGUUUUAAAGAGCCGCGGUAUUUUGACCGUGCAAAGGUAGCAUAAUCAUUAGUCUCUUAAUUAGAGGCUGGAAUGAAUGGUUUGACGAGAAAUCAACUGUCUCUUAAUAAUUUUUAAAAUUUAACUUUUAAGUCAAAAGGCUUAAAUUUUUCUUUAGGACGAGAAGACCCUAUAGAGCUUGACAUUUUAUUUUUAUAUAGUUUUUAGCUAGUUUUUCUAUAUUUAAUGAUAAUGUUUUGUUGGGGUGACAUGAAGAAUAAAUAAACUCUUCAUUAUAAAAUCAUUGAUUUAUGUUUAUCAUGAUCCAUAAUUUAUGAUCAUAAGAUUAAGUUACCUUAGGGAUAACAGCGUAAUUGUUUUUGAGAGCUCAUAUUGACAAAACAGAUUGCGACCUCGAUGUUGGAUUAAGAAAAAUUUUGGGUGCAGGAGCUCAAUAAUUAGGUCUGUCGACAUAUCC